RNAcentral lists this ribosomal RNA (385 nucleotides) under uncultured cyanobacterium. RNAcentral's name for it is "bacterial SSU rRNA". It matches the Rfam family "Bacterial small subunit ribosomal RNA", at positions 392 to 792 of the family's 1533-position model. Lineage: Bacteria; Bacillati; Cyanobacteriota. The record is from RNAcentral.
CAAGACCGCGUGAGGGAGGAAGGCCUGUGGGUUGUAAACCUCUUUUGAUAGGGAAGAAGCUCUGACGGUACCUAUCGAAUAAGCAUCGGCUAACUCCGUGCCAGCAGCCGCGGUAAUACGGAGGAUGCAAGCGUUAUCCGGAAUUAUUGGGCGUAAAGCGUCCGUAGAUGGUUUUUCAAGUCUGCUGUCAAAGCGCGGAGCUUAACUCCGUAAGGGCGGUGGAAACUGAAAGACUAGAGUUUGGUAGGGGUAGAGGGAAUUCCCAGUGUAGCGGUGAAAUGCGUAGAUAUUGGGAAGAACACCGGUGGCGAAAGCGCUCUACUGGGCCUGAACUGACACUGAGGGACGAAAGCUAGGGGAGCGAAAGGGAUUAGAUACCCCUGUA